RNAcentral lists this long non-coding RNA (3629 nucleotides) under Nicotiana benthamiana. RNAcentral's name for it is "long non-coding RNA (NBEN_LNC015553)". Lineage: Eukaryota; Viridiplantae; Streptophyta; Magnoliopsida; Solanales; Solanaceae. The record is from RNAcentral.
GUAAAGGAUUGGCACUCAAUGAUGGUUUGCAGCGAGUUCUUCGGAGACAUGAUGAUAUUGCCAAUGGAACCUCAACAAUUACAGUACAGCCCAGAGAAACUCCUAUUGCACCCCUCAUGAAUGUGAAUCAUGAGGAUGAUGAGUCAGAAGAUGAUUUCUCUCAUUUAGCACGGAGGUAAUGCUUGGUCAUUUUGCUGCUAUACUGUUCCUUCUCCCCUUUUCCUUGUCCGUACCAGUAGUAUUAGUGUUAGUCUUGCAUUUUCUUAUUUUUUUUUAUUUCUAUUACUACCUGCUGUUUCUUUCGCUUCGGUUUUCUUGUUAUCUUGCUGGUGUUACUGUCUAUCGGUAACAACUUCUCUACCUUCUCAAGGUGGGUAAGGUCUGCGUAUACACUAGCUUUUCCAGAUCCCACUUUUGGGAUUACACUGGGUUUGUUGUUGCUGUACUGUUCCUUCCCCCACCCCGCAGAGUAAUUGUCUUCAGUUGUAUAAUUAUGGUUUUGCCAGGCCUUUUCUGUUCUUACUGCAAAUAUUGCCACUUUAGAAUACGUGAUGUAGUAAAAGCAUUUUGAUUAGAUCUUUGGAUGGUCAUUGAUAUGGGAAUAUAAAUCAACUGCCUUUAUUCUCCAUCAAGGUGAAGUUGGAUUUCAUUUUCUGGGAAGAACUUCAUGUCAAAUUAUUCCUAGAGAUCAUUUUUGCUUUAGUUCUCCCAGCUGGUUAGCACACUUCAACAUUUAGCCUGUUUGGCAUGCAUCCGAGGUAACCUACUUUUAGAUUUAUUAUAGGUUAUCAAAAAAGGAUUUAUUAUAAAGCAGCAGUCGAUAGUUAAUUCCAUUGUUGCUAUUUAAAAGAGACCAGAAUUAUGAUACCAUUUCAAAACUGGGGUUUCACCAAACUAUUAGCUUCGCCUUUUGGUAUACAUUGAAAAUAAUCGACUUUAGCCAACCCUAUGUGAAAAAAGUCAACAAACUUCAUAGGUUGAAGGUAAGGCGUGUUUGUCUGAUUAAGCUCUUCAUUUCUAAGGGGAUUUUAGUUAGAUUACAGAGCAAUCAAAGAAUAUGAGACCACGACCACAUCAAAAUUUUGGUAGCAAUAGUGAAGAAAAACCGUAGAGCUGAUCAUAACUAAUUUUGGUUGAGGUUUAGUUGAUUGAUUUAUGGUGAGCAGAAAAAAAAUAGUCCUUCUAAUAUUAUUUGUUUUGUCUUUCAGUAUAAAUUGAUAUUAACAGUGCUACAGGGAUUUGUCUGUGUAAUGUCAAAGUCUUUUGCUUUUACCACUAUGUAAAAGAUUUUUUUUGUGUAACAUCAGAACUUUUCGCUUUUACCAAUAGUGUAAUUUUUGCAUUAUAGCAUUUCUUUCUUGUUAUGAUUCGUUUGCUUGAUUGCGAGUCUCUGCAUAAUGAUGAAUGGAUAUCCAAUAGGUGAAUGUAGCUUAGUACAAGAUCACUUUCUUCAACAAUUUAAGGCACUUCCUUAGGAGUUGGGAGUGAUUUCUUGGGCUUAAGUACAUUGUUCCAAAACUUUCCCAAGUCCUCCUUAAACUCUUGUUGGAACUCUUCCUAUCUUGGCCUUGCAGUUUCCGUGAGUUUCCAGGUAAUAGUGGUGCAAUUUCCUCUUCUCAGUUUUCUUUUUUUUCUUCUUCUGAAAAAUUGCGAAACUCCAGCAUUUUAUCCAUUCACUGUGAGUUCCACAACGUUGGGACUUGUUAUUGAGAUUCUGUUUAGUACAGAAGAAUGGCUUAGAAACAAACAAGUGCAUUUGAGCUUAGUGUGAAAUGCCACCAUGUUAUCCUGGUUAAAUCCAAGACUGUAUGCCUUGCUGGUUGGAUCUCUCUAUAGUUAUCUAAUCUCUUUCUUUUUCCUACCUCCCUUAUGAAGGGAUUCCCUAGGAUUUGAUUACAGUUAGAGUUACUAUGGAACUUUGCCAAGUACAGAACAAUGGUUUAAAGCAAACUAGUGUUGCAGAGCCAUUGGAGUUGUGGCUCUAAAUCCUGCAUUUCUCAUGUGCAUGAGUUGGAUCGCUAGGGAAACCAGCUUCUCUAUUCUUCUUUAGAAUUUUCUGAAAUCAUAUUUUUGUACCAAUAUGUACUUGACCUAAUUUAUAUUGCAAUAAGCCAUCAGCACUUCAAAGAUUUUGACACUUAGAAUCCAAAAACAUUAUAUGGGUGAGUGAUACGAUAAGCCGGAACUACAUUUCAUCAGUGUACUCAAAGCACUCAAACAAGUAAGCUUCUGAUUCUUGGUUUUCCACCAGCAUAAACAUUUGCAGUUGAUUAAUAGGAAGUUUGGGAGAUAAAAAAGAGGAAACGAUGAGUUUCAUUUCCUGUUUAUGGUUUUCAAUGGAAUAAUGGGUUGAUGAUUAUAUUACCAUCUGAAGUUCCAGGGGCAAAGGCCUUGUGGGGAAAAUUUUGGGAUACAAGAGUUCGUCGUACCUAUUUCUUGAAUCUUUAAUUUCUUUUCUCGACCUAGAUUUCCUACUUCUGCAUCUGGUUGUGUGACGAUAACUUCAUAAUGUUGUCAAAUUCUGAGUAGAAUGUUUCCUGGGUUCUCAAGGGCAAGAGCUUGGCAGAUUGAUAUUGUGCCUGUCAUGCUUAAAAGAUGUGCAGUCUAGUUUUGCUGUAAAUCCACUUUAUUCAUCUGUGUGCUGUCAUGUGGACAAUUCUAUUUCUAGACUAAGAAUCCUCAUAGAGUGAGAAUUUUUGUGCACCUGAGCAUGAAAUUGUACUUCCCUUAGUAGAUAUAAUUGGCAAUGGUUUGUCCCUUCAGGGACAUCCAUUAAAAUUGGUACGAUAAAGAGAAGAUGUAAGUGCCAAUUAUUUUUAUAUCCAUCAUAGAUAUAGGUUUGUGCUUUAAUUUACUGAAGGAUUUCAAAAAGAGCAGGAACAUUUGGUUGUGUUUUAUCAAAUCUCUACUGGUAUCCUCUUGGUGGUGUUGUCCCUGGCUUUGCUCGUCCUUUUCUUGAUGUGUUUUUACUGUCACUCGUGUUGCAGAUCUUCAAAGGAUCCAUCGCAGGCACAGGGGCGGAAGACUGUUGAUGUAAAGAGUGAACCUAUGCGAAUUACCCCUACUCUUGCUCCCCCACCUUCAUCAAGGAGACCAGUUUCUACUGAUGCGGGAAUGGUUGAUUAUCUCAGUGGUGAAAGGUUUGAAUCUGAAAGAUCUUUUGGAACAGCAGGAUCCUCACCCAUUGCUGUCUCAACUAAUUCCCUCCCCCACCUUCAUCAAGGAGGCCAGUUUCUACUGAUGCGGGAAUGGUUGAUUAUCUCAGUGGUGAAAGGUUUGAAUCUGAAAGAUCUUUUGGAACAGCAGGAUCCUCACCUAUUGCUGUCUCAACUAAUUCAAACAAUGUGAGCUCCAUCCCGCGAUCAAGUCCCCCUUCGGAUGAUUUGCUAAACCCAACAGCUGAUGAUGAUUUCGUGAACCCCACUGCAUCCUUGUUUACUGGAAAAAGCAACAACGGCGAAUCUGAUACAAAAGCCAAAUCUGCUGAUCACUUGCCUCCAGCACCUUGGGAUGCUCCUCCUACCACACUCCCUCCACCACCAGCCAGAUAUAAUCAGAGACAGCAGUACUUUGAGAAAAAUGUUUUUGGUGGUGGAUCGAGUUCUUAUGAUAGCGUAGUUGGACAAACA